GCAUUCUCAGUCUUGAGGACGGCGCCCACUUC
This 32-nucleotide non-coding RNA is filed under the name Geobacter sulfurreducens KN400. Lineage: Bacteria; Pseudomonadati; Thermodesulfobacteriota; Desulfuromonadia; Geobacterales; Geobacteraceae. The record is from RNAcentral.